UCUGCUGUGGCUGCUGCCUCCAAAGGUCUCCUUCGUAGUGGCUUCAGUUUCACUCAUGCCAUCCUCAUCGCUGGAGAGAGCACGACAGUGCACCAGUCGGUCAGAAGACUCCAUGGAGAGCUGCAGCUGGAAGCCUGAGCAAGAAGCGUCUAGGCUCCAGUCAAGGAUAUCGCCCAGAAGAGUCUCCUCCUGAGUGAACAGUUCAGCUGUGGGUGUGGCCACAAAGCUGCCUCGAUGGAGAAGACAGGAAGGUAUGCAUGUCCGCUGAAUGGCCACUGGCACUAGGAGGGUCAAAUUUGGGUUCCACAUCUGGAACCUCCAGGACUUGGCACAGUUCUUUAAACCCCAUUACCUGAGAAAUACAAACACCACCAAUGGGUAUAAACAACAAAAACACACUUUUACACAGCACGUUCACAGUAAAAUCUUGACAGCAUUUUAUGACCAGAUCUAUACCAAAUUUCAUGCAACUUAUAACUGGAUUGUUUAUUGAAAAGAUGCAUG
This is a long non-coding RNA of Pygocentrus nattereri (red-bellied piranha), 504 nucleotides long. RefSeq lists it as uncharacterized. NCBI's taxonomy places the organism in Eukaryota, Metazoa, Chordata, Actinopteri, Characiformes, Serrasalmidae. The transcript is spliced from 3 exons. The record is from RefSeq and is a predicted model, not a curated record.